GUAGAGAGGUAGAGAUCAUGACUCAUGGGUGAGGCACCAUGGGUGAAGGCACUGGUGGCCAAAAAAAGGGAGAGAGAUGGCUCGAUCGAAUAGAACAAAAUAGGGUCUUAUUAUUUUGUGGAUUUCCAACGAACCCGAGGCCGAUGAGGGUGCACAAAGCCAUGGAAAGGAGGGGAAGGAAAAGAAGAAGGAGGUCGGGGCUUACCUCCAACUCCGAUGAGAUCUCCAAUCAGAAUUUGCGGCAAACACGAGGAGGGCGUGGAUAGCUUCAAUGAGAAAAAUCUGAAAGGAAGAAGAGGAAGAAACUGGUGCUCGUCGUGGCUAGCUAUGG
RNAcentral lists this long non-coding RNA (331 nucleotides) under Elaeis guineensis (African oil palm). RNAcentral describes it as "long non-coding RNA (EGUI_LNC024762)". Lineage: Eukaryota; Viridiplantae; Streptophyta; Magnoliopsida; Arecales; Arecaceae. The record is from RNAcentral.